ACCCGGACUCUGUCAUCCCUCUGACCUUUCACCAGGACUUGCCUUCUCUUUUCAUCUUCAAUAACUUUCGAAGCUCUAGCCAAUCUCUCCUUGGUGAUGUCAUGCUCCCGGUUAGAUGAGACUAAGGCCUGGCUAAUCUUCCCAUAGUAGGCUGUAUCCAUCUCAAAGCGCUUCGCUUCCAGGGCAUGUCGCUUGCCUUGAUCUUCCAUCUUUUCCUUGAGCUCCUGAUUAACCCUCUGAACCCGAGCCAC
Molecule: long non-coding RNA, 251 nt
Filed under: Lathyrus oleraceus (garden pea)
Lineage: Eukaryota; Viridiplantae; Streptophyta; Magnoliopsida; Fabales; Fabaceae
Description: Pisum sativum (pea) long non-coding RNA (PSAT_LNC019814)
Source: RNAcentral